This 754-nucleotide ribosomal RNA is filed under the name bacterium enrichment culture. RNAcentral's name for it is "bacterial SSU rRNA". It matches the Rfam family "Bacterial small subunit ribosomal RNA", at positions 64 to 824 of the family's 1533-position model. The record is from RNAcentral.
GAAUAUAUAAAGAAAUCUUCGGAUGGAAAUAUAUAUUUCUUAGCGGCGGACGGGUGAGUAACGCGUGAGGAACCUGCCUUGUACUAGGGGAUAGCCUCGGGAAACCGGGAUUAAUACCCUAUGAUACUUGAGGAUCGCAUGAUUUUCAAGUCAAAGCGAUUAAGCGGUAUAAGAUGGACUCGCGUCCCAUUAGCUAGUUGGUGAGGUAAUAGCUCACCAAGGCGACGAUGGGUAGCCGGCCUGAGAGGGUGAACGGCCACACUGGAACUGAGACACGGUCCAGACUCCUACGGGAGGCAGCAGUGGGGAAUAUUGCACAAUGGAGGGAACUCUGAUGCAGCGACGCCGCGUGAGCGAUGAAGGUUUUCGGAUCGUAAAGCUCUGUCCUAAGGGACGAUAAUGACGGUACCUUAGGAGGAAGCCCCGGCUAACUACGUGCCAGCAGCCGCGGUAAUACGUAGGGGGCGAGCGUUGUCCGGAUUUAUUGGGCGUAAAGGGUGCGUAGGCGGCCUUGUAAGUCAGAUGUGAAAUCUCACGGCUUAACCGUGGUAAGCAUUUGAAACUGUGAGGCUUGAGUACAGGAGAGGAGAGUGGAAUUCCUAGUGUAGCGGUGAAAUGCGUAGAUAUUAGGAGGAAUACCAGUGGCGAAGGCGACUCUCUGGACUGUAACUGACGCUGAGGCACGAAAGCGUGGGGAGCAAACAGGAUUAGAUACCCUGGUAGUCCACGCCGUAAACGAUGAGUGCUAGGUGUC